CCUACGGGGGGCAGCAGUGAGGAAUAUUGGUCAAUGGACGAGAGUCUGAACCAGCCAAGUAGCGUGAAGGAUGACUGCCCUAUGGGUUGUAAACUUCUUUUAUAUGGGAAUAAAAUGUUCCACGUGUGGGAUUUUGUAUGUACCAUAUGAAUAAGGAUCGGCUAACUCCGUGCCAGCAGCCGCGGUAAUACGGAGGAGCCGAGCGUUAUCCGGAUUUAUUGGGUUUAAAGGGAGCGUAGGUGGAGUGUUAAGUCAGUUGUGAAAGUUUGCGGCUCAACCGUAAAAUUGCAGUUGAAACUGGCAGUCUUGAGUACAGUAGAGGUGGGCGGAAUGCGUGGUGUAGCGGUGAAAUGCUUAGAUAUCACGAAGAACUCCGAGUGCGAAGGCAGUUCACUGGACUGCAACUGACACUGAGGCUCGAAAGUGUGGGUAUCAAACAGGAUUAGAUACCCUGGUAGUC
RNAcentral lists this ribosomal RNA (460 nucleotides) under uncultured bacterium. RNAcentral's name for it is "partial 16S ribosomal RNA". It matches the Rfam family "Bacterial small subunit ribosomal RNA", at positions 338 to 795 of the family's 1533-position model. The record is from RNAcentral.